GUAGCUGAGCUGAAGAAGCAGUUUCACAAAGCCAGCCAGUUAAGUGAAAAAAUAACUGGUGCCAAAGGAUCGAAGCUAGAUGAAGAAUUUCUGGACAUAGAAAAGAAAAUAUAUAUUACCAGUAAAGCUGUUGCAGAAAUUCUUUCAAAAGCCACAGAGUAUCUCUAGCCCAUUCCAGCAUACAGAGCUAAGCUAGGAAUGCUGAACACUGUGUCAAAGCUCCAAGGGCAGGUGAAGGCCACUGGCUAUCCACAGACAGAAGACAUGCUGGGGGACUUCAUGCUGAAGUAUGACAAGGAGCUCGGAGAAGACUCUGCUUUUGGCAACUCAUUACUAGAAGCUGGUGAGGCCCUGAAACAUGGCUGAGGUGAAAGACUCUCUGGAUAUUAAUGUGAAGCAAACUUUUAUUGACCCACUGCAGCUACUGCAAGACAAAGAUUUAAAAGAGAUUGGGCACCACCUGAGAAAGCUGGCAGGCCACCGCUUGGAUUAUGAUUAUAAAAAGCUUCGGGUAGGUAAGAUCCCCAAGGAAGAAAUAAGACAAGCACUAGAGAAGUUCGAAGUCAAAGGAGUUGGCCGAAAGAAGCAUGUUUAAUUCUUUAGAAAAUAAUGUAGAGCAAGUGAGCCAACUGGCUGUGUUUGUAGAGGCAGCAUUAGACUAUCACAGGCAGUUCACAGAGAUUCUCCAGGAACUGCAGAGCAAGCUGGAGCUGAGAAUAGCUCUUGCAUCCAAAGUCCCCAAGCAAGAAUUCAUACCAAGCCUGUGAACACGAGUUCCACCGAUGCCAAUGGGGUCGGACCCAGCUCUUCAUCAAAGAUGACAGGUACUUACACUCCCUCGGACCAGCCCUGCUCUCAUGGUCUCUAUGACUUUGAGCCAGAAAAUGAAGGAGAAUUAGGAUUU
RNAcentral lists this long non-coding RNA (904 nucleotides) under Mus musculus (house mouse). RNAcentral describes it as "long non-coding RNA chr2:23680217-23681121". The record is from RNAcentral. Lineage: Eukaryota; Metazoa; Chordata; Mammalia; Rodentia; Muridae.